Long non-coding RNA from Beta vulgaris subsp. vulgaris (sugar beet), 706 nucleotides. RefSeq lists it as uncharacterized. The record is from RefSeq and is a predicted model, not a curated record. The transcript has 2 exons. Lineage: Eukaryota; Viridiplantae; Streptophyta; Magnoliopsida; Caryophyllales; Amaranthaceae.
CCCAAUUUGUGUCGGACCUCAUGGCCCAUCCGACGCAGAUCCGCAGGCCCGCGCGCUUCAUUCCCUUAUAUUUCAAACCCUAACUUCUUUGUCUAGCUUCUCCAGCCGUUCUUCUCUCUCUACCCCUCUCCCUCUUUCUCAUACCACCCGUUCAUCAUCAACCACUGUUGUUCUUGUUUAUUCGCUUUCUCCUUCGCAUUCAAAAGAAAAUCAUCGGCCCACGCUUGUCGUCGGCGUUUAGGAAGCGACUCGAUAACUUCAUUGCUUCAGUUGGAAUUCCCCGCUGCGAUUCUCACCAUCGAUUCUCUCUUUCCUCCCACUGCCACUACCGCUGUGAGUUCUCACCAUCGAUUCUCUCUCUCCUCCCACGUCACUCCCCCUACCCCUACCGCUGCGAGUUCUUACUAAACUCCGUCGAGCCCACUGCCACGUCAUAACAUUUCCGUUUUCCAACGAGCGGCGAAAAUUCGUUUUGACAGAUUUUCAAGAAGUCUACAACAUUGCAAAGUUGAAGAAUGAGAUUUUCAAGCAAGGUUCCAGAAUUUAGGUUUAGUUUUUAGUUUUUAGGAAAUUUUUAGUGCUGUAAGUUACUUUCAAAUUUUUUUAGUUCUGGUAAAGUUUGUAAGCCAUGUGUAAAUUACAUUUUUUUUUUUAAUGAAAUUAAGGUACAUUCAUAAGAAAGAACGUAUCUAUGAACAUUUGUGAA